Molecule: non-coding RNA, 77 nt
Organism: Paramuricea clavata
Lineage: Eukaryota; Metazoa; Cnidaria; Anthozoa; Malacalcyonacea; Plexauridae
Source: the annotation of a GenBank genome assembly
AAUUCUAUUUCAGAACCAUCCUCAGAGAUACGAAAAACUAGUUUUCGUAUCUCUGAGGAUGGUUCUGAAACAGAAUU